UUUGUUUAUGAGUCAAAUAUAAACUCUGGAAUUUCCAACUUUCAUUUUUAGAUUUAAUUUGCGACGUUACAACUUCUUUGACGAUACACAUAAUAGAAAUCGUUCAUGAGGGAACAUCUGAUAAUUCAAAUGUGAUUUUUGCUUUAUAUACGUCGUCAUUGAUGGUACUGGCACUCCGAUAAUGCUUCUGAAGCUGGAGACGUUGUUCCUUUGGUUGGACAUUACCAAACCUAACUAUGUCUUGAACGCAAAUACUCCGCAAAUGCGCAGGGGUUUGUCAGAAAAAGAACAACAACAGCAAGUUAUUUUUAGAAUGUUGUCAAGGAUACAAGUUUAAUCAGAUUAACCAAACAUGUGAUGACUGUCCUGAAGGAAAAUACGGUUAUAAUUGUCAGGAUGACUGUUCAGAUAAUUUCUUUGGCUUACGCUGUAAACACAGAUGCAAUUGUAAGGAAAACGAAACAUGCAACAAAGUUCAUGGUUGCAGAAUUAUCGAGAACAUUGACGCAAGAAUACCUAUGAUUUUAGUUAAAGAGUCAUCCACCACUUUGAAAGAUGAAUUGACAGUACCAACAGAACAUAUGACUCAUACAUUGCAAGGUGAUGAUGGCGGAGACCCAGUCAACAGUAUAAUUAUUGCAGUGCUACUAGCUGUUUUGGUUAUCAUCGUUUUAGUUAUAGUAUGGAAGGAAAGAGAAAAAAUAUGUAGACGAAUAACAGAUUCGCAAAUGUCGUCAGUUCAUGAGAGGCACAAAAGACGGCAUGCAAACGAAGACGACGAAAAUGCUUACUCUGAAAUUAGAGAGUCGAAGAUGGUCAGACCAAUGACAGUUUACGGGAGAAAACUAUCACACUGUGACCUGGAUAACCAAUAUAACCAUUUGUCCCUUAAACAAACAAAUGGGAUAUCUCGCAUCAACAACUACCUAUAUAAUAUGCCGACAGAGUACACAGAACCAAUUGAUGGGAUUGGAAAUGAUUGCGAAAAGACAUCUGAAAAAAACAGAUCAGUCUGACAGACCAAAUGAAAGCUGACCAAUCUGAAUUACAUUAUCAAACUAAUUUUGGUAUACAAUCAAAUAGUUCUGCAUUGUGUUUCGUAAAGAAAGAAAAACAUUUACACGUGUUUUAUUAUAAUCUCGAUGUUUUAAAUAUUUAGAAAGUUUUGAAUAAAAAUGGAAAAACGUAUAACAAUGCCAGAGACUAUUCAAAAAUAUGAUGUACAUAAUACAAAUAACCCGAGAACAGUU
Molecule: RNA transcript, 1250 nt
Organism: Mytilus californianus (California mussel)
Lineage: Eukaryota; Metazoa; Mollusca; Bivalvia; Mytilida; Mytilidae
Exons: 11
Source: RefSeq, a predicted model, not a curated record